Molecule: long non-coding RNA, 2859 nt
Organism: Dicentrarchus labrax (European seabass)
Lineage: Eukaryota; Metazoa; Chordata; Actinopteri; Moronidae
Exons: 2
Source: RefSeq, a predicted model, not a curated record
CUUGUGUUCAUAAGUGCUUCUCUUUGGGGUUGUCUUAAUUGUGAGUCCCUCAACAGGCAAAUCACUGGACAAAUGCAGUGACUGGACUGUCAAUUUUUAUCAUUGUCCUAUGACUGGCUCUAAGUUUGUCACCAACAUUACCCAAACACAAGCACUGACUUGAGUUCUGAAUGCAGUAAUAGCUACUUGUUGGGGUACUUUUGUUGACAUCUGAAGUCCUGUGUUCCCUUUGAAGAAUGUACCUACACUGCUAUUCUAGAUCAGUUGUUGCUGGGUGAGGAAUGAAGUUUUGUGGCCAUUUUAUUUGAGGACAAUUUAUUGAAGGUAUCGGGAGCAAUACUGUACGAAAAUCAUUCUCAGACCACCUCAAACAGAGUCACUGGUGAUUUUUGUUUUCACAAGUGCUUCUCUUUGGGGUUGUCUUGGUUUUGAGAAGUUCCUUGGGGAAAUGUCUCCACAAAGCUCAUUGAGGGGUCAUGUGUUAUUACUCCUAAACCAAACGAGGGACACAUUUCAACUACUGACUUCAAUGCUAUUUACACAGGAUUUCAACCUGAUGGGAAGGAAUGCCCUUUAGCUUUAGCUCCCCAUGGUCCAGAUUUGGUCAUUAAUAUUACCCUAACACAAACACUAACUGUGCAGUAAGUGCUUUUUGUUGGGGUAAUUUUGCUGACUUCUGCAACCUCAGGUGUGUAUCUUAUUUUGAUACACACAUGAUUUAUUUACUAUUUAUGUCACCAAUGUGCUGAUGGUUAUUGUAUACCUUGUAUUUAAAUUUUUCAAUAAAACAAAAAAAAAAUGUGGUACAGGUGACUCCAGGACCCACAAGAUUGGCCACAUCUUAUGCAUCACUAUUAAUAAAAUAUAUUUAUUAAUAGUGUUAUGUUUUCAUGUCUUAGGUAAAACAGGACAUGAUAUAGUGUGAUAUAGCUGUUUUUUCUCGAAAAACAAGUCGUCUAGAACCUAAAAAAUACACUCUCAUGCCAUCUAAAAUCAUAAAUUAUGGAUUAAUAAUGAAUUUAUUAAUUUAAGAUAGGCUAUUUACAUAUUCUUAACAGAUCUGCAGUUCAAAAUAUGGUAUAGACACUUUUUAUAAGGACUCUCUUGGGCCGGGUCAAAUUUGACCCAGACCAUCCUGUGUAGGCAUUGGAUAUGAACAGUUUGUAAGGGUUAAAAAGUAAAUAAAACUGUUUUUGAUGCAAGAAAGGUGGCGAAGAUGAACUUCAGUGAAUUCAUCACCAAAGCAGGAAAGCCAUUCACUGAAGGGCAGUUUGUGGUGGACUGCAUGUUGAGAAAUGCCGAUAUUUUGUCUAAAAAGGCCUCAUUGUGUCUGUUGUCCUGAAAUGUUUUAAUAACAUCAGAUCAGGGUUUACAGCACUGCCAGUUCAGGGCCUUUUUACAAGAAAAUUAGUCAGCACAUCAUUUAGUGGUGAUGAAUAUGACUUUGCUAAUGAAAACUUUCCAGCUGUUUGCAGACCCUGUUUACUUACACACUGCAAAAAAGGAAUUUCAAGAAAGUAAAAAAGCCUUGUAUCAAGGAAAUAAGUCUUAUUUUUUGUUCAAAAAGAAAAUUAAUCUUGUCAAGCAUGUUUUGCAUUGGAAAAAUAAUCUAAUUUUAAGAAAGUACGGCUAACUUAUUCCAGCUACUUUUGAGCUAGAAUGAACCAGUAACAGGGUAUACAAAUGUUUUACAAUAAAACCCAGUGGAGCAACAAGAUUAUUUGCCUCAUUUUAAGUGUAAGACCACUUGCACAACUUCUCAAUUUAAGAGUGCCAAGAAACUUAAAAUUAAAGGUUGUUUAUUUUCAUUUGUCAUGUGUUCUCAGGCCAUCUGAACCUGGCAGAACCUGCUGCUUCAUAUCUAACAUAUUAAAGGAGUCAUAUUAUGCCCUUUUUCAGGUUCAUAAUUGUAUUUUGUGGCUCUCCUACAAUAGGUUUAGAUGUUUUAAUGUUUAUGUUUAUUUUUCUCAUACUGCCUACAGCUGAGCACCUCUUUUCAGCCUCUGUCUGAAUCGCUAGGUUUUAGCGCCUGUCUCUUUAAGACCCCCCUCCCGAAAAGCCCAGUCUGCUCUGAUAGGACGGCAUUAUGACGCGGAUUAUGCGGCUCACGCGGAUGACGCUCCGGCCCCUCCCCUUCGUUGCCGGCUCCUCACUGCUACUGAGAUUAGCUUCAUUUCUACCGUCAAUAUUAAUUCAAUAACUGCUUCUAAAGCAAAAACUUCACCAGCGGACAUGUUAGAGCGGGAGUCUGACCUGAAAUCACAGAGAAAUGAACAACUUCAACAAUCAGGAUUACAGCUUUCUGUGACGUUUUCCUCAGGUACAGCAGUGAGCAGUGACCUACAAUCUACACAGCCCAGUGAAGUUAAACAUAUUAUAUAUUACAUAAUAUUAACAGCAUUAGUCAAGCAGUUGUUUCUAGUGAAGAAACACCCAGUAAAUGUACCAAAGUAAUCAGAGUAAUAGUAUAAUGAUUACUGUAACCUCCCCUCUGUUAUAUUCUUUAUACACCAUUAGUUUACUGAGACCAUGGAAACAGAAACCUGGAAUACUUUAUCCUGUACAACAUGUCAACAUAACUGAAGCAAUUACUCAUCUAAUAAAGUAAAUUGUUUAUGUGGUUUAAAAACAGCUAAGUAACCAACUGUUAACGGUACUGUAGCCAUAUUUCAUAGUCUGAUAUUUUAACUUAAAAGUAUUAUUACCAAAGUUAACCUUCAGAUAUGUGUAAAAGCUGCAAUUAUGUUUGAACCCCAUUAAAAAUACUGUAUACUGAAUAUUCUAUCAUUUAUAUUAUAUACUGUAUUAUGAUUAUGAAUUUAUCUUCCAAUGUAAUAAAGUUUGAAUGUGAGACAGUAA